AUAGUGGUUUAAUUCGUACGAUACGCGAAGAACCUUACCUGGCCUUGACAUACUAAAAAGACUUUAAGUAGAUUAGAGUGUGCUAGCUUGCUAGAAUUUAGAUACAGGUGCUGCACGGCUGUCGUCAGCUCGUGUCGUGAGAUGUUGGGUUAAGUCCCGCAACGAGCGCAACCCUUGCCUUUAGUUGCCAGCAGUUCGGCUGGGCACUCUAAAGGGACUGCCGGUGUUAAACCGGAGGAAGGUGGGGAUGACGUCAAGUCCUCAUGGCCUUUAUGACCAGGGCUACACACGUACUACAAUGGCCGAUACAAAGGGCAGCGACACUGCGAGGUGAAGCCAAUCCCGUAAAAUCGGUCUCAGUCCGGAUUGGAGUCUGCAACUCGACUCCAUGAAGUUGGAAUCGCUAGUAAUCGUGGAUCAGCAUGCCACGGUGAAUACGUUCCCGGGCCUU
This 451-nucleotide ribosomal RNA is filed under the name uncultured Desulfobulbus sp. RNAcentral describes it as "bacterial SSU rRNA". It matches the Rfam family "Bacterial small subunit ribosomal RNA", at positions 939 to 1382 of the family's 1533-position model. Lineage: Bacteria; Pseudomonadati; Thermodesulfobacteriota; Desulfobulbia; Desulfobulbales; Desulfobulbaceae. The record is from RNAcentral.